GAUGAACGCUCGCGGCAGGCCUAACACAUGCAAGUCGAGGGAGGAGCCUUCGGGCUUCGACCGGCGUACGGGUGCGUAACGCGUAUACAAUCUGCCUUUCACAUAGGGAUAGCCCGAAGAAAUUUGGAUUAAUACCUAAUGGUAUAUAGAUGUGGCAUCACCUUUAUAUUAAAGCUGAGGCGGUGAAAGAUGAGUAUGCGUUCUAUUAGCUAGUUGGAGAGGUAACGGCUCCCCAAGGCGACGAUAGAUAGGGGUUCUGAGAGGGAUAUCCCCCACACUGGUACUGAGAUACGGACCAGACUCCUACGGGAGGCAGCAGUGAGGAAUAUUGGACAAUGGUCGGAAGACUGAUCCAGCCAUGCCGCGUGCAGGAAGACGGCCUUAUGGGUUGUAAACUGCUUUUGCAGGGGAAGAAUAAGGACUACGCGUAGUUUGAUGACGGUACUCUGCGAAUAGGCAUCGGCUAACUCCGUG
RNAcentral lists this ribosomal RNA (474 nucleotides) under uncultured bacterium. Its description in RNAcentral is "partial 16S ribosomal RNA". It matches the Rfam family "Bacterial small subunit ribosomal RNA", at positions 28 to 507 of the family's 1533-position model. The record is from RNAcentral.